AGAUGCUCUUAUCCCAGGGACAAUGCUUCAUGGAAGGGAGGGAGAUGCAAGAAUUGUUCCUUCCCCUUGAACCUGGCUUGAAACCAUUGUGGAUCUUCGGAGAAGGUGACAGCAGGAAGGAAAGAUGUCUCUGGGAUCCUGGCGUCCUCAGUCUUCACACAGAAAGAGGAUGUGUGAGAGGCAAUUAAAAUAAUAGGAAUUAAUUACCCGGCCC
RNAcentral lists this long non-coding RNA (214 nucleotides) under Fukomys damarensis (Damara mole-rat). Its description in RNAcentral is "lncRNA (ENSFDAG00000031937.1)". Lineage: Eukaryota; Metazoa; Chordata; Mammalia; Rodentia; Bathyergidae. The record is from RNAcentral.